UCCAUUGGUUCCGGACAGGCUUGCAUACUGACAAUUCAUACCGUACUGGUCAUUCAUCUUUUACAUUACCAGUAGCAUAUAAUACAUAUCAUUAUACAAUACACACGCUCAAACACGGUUUUUUUCGACUUUUUUCGGUUUUUCGGGCUGCCCUUCUCCCCUGAGGCCACGAUGAAAAACAUACAAUAUAUUAUAUAAUCUUUAUUCUUUAUAUGUUACAUGCAUUCCCCUGCAGUAGUGAAAAGUAAAUUGUUUGUUUUAUUUCAGUGUCGACAGCUCAAACUAUGGUGGUAUCUUAUCGCUACAAUGCUGCUAACUAGACUCUUGGAUGAAGUUAAGUUGUUUUAGUCAGAUGAUCUACUUUUUGGCGUUUCCUACUGCCCUAGUUAUAGUAGUUCAAGGUUUAACUGUAAAUAUAGUGUUAAGUAAGUUUCAAUACUUCCCUGCCACCUUUUCAGACAUUGCAGAGAUGUGUGACCGCACAAUUCUCAAACCGAAGAAUCAAAAGGAGUUAUUGAUUUAUCGGUAUAUAAAGUAUGUAUGCUUUAUCAAACAAAGCCACUAGGUAUUCGUGACACAGUUUACGUGUGAUGACGUGGGCAUCUCUCAACACACUUUGCAGCAUGAGCGACGGUGCCCUGGCGGGAUAUCUGGAAAUGUAGCCUUGAGCUCAGUUUAUUUUUCUCCGUCACCUCACCCGGGGGAGGGGGGGGGGAGCCAAUGACUUUGGGUAAUUUGGGGACAAGUGCAGAAUUUCGCCAGCAAUUUAACCUCAAGUCUCCAAGAUUUUUAGCCCCCAUUGGUACCCAAAAGUCUCCUUUAGAAGUCAUUUAAUAAAA
Molecule: long non-coding RNA, 839 nt
Organism: Bolinopsis microptera
Lineage: Eukaryota; Metazoa; Ctenophora; Tentaculata; Lobata; Bolinopsidae
Exons: 2
Source: RefSeq, a predicted model, not a curated record